RNAcentral lists this ribosomal RNA (368 nucleotides) under Acinetobacter baumannii. RNAcentral's name for it is "partial 23S ribosomal RNA". It matches the Rfam family "Bacterial large subunit ribosomal RNA", at positions 2064 to 2431 of the family's 2925-position model. The record is from RNAcentral. Lineage: Bacteria; Pseudomonadati; Pseudomonadota; Gammaproteobacteria; Moraxellales; Moraxellaceae.
GGUUACCCGCGACAGGACGGAAAGACCCCAUGGAGCUUUACUGCAGUUUGAUAUUGAGUAUCUGUACCACAUGUACAGGAUAGGUAGGAGCCUAUGACCUCGGGACGCCAGUUUCGAGUGAGGCGUUGUUGGGAUACUACCCUUGUGUUAUGGCUACUCUAACCCAGAUAGGUUAUCCCUAUCGGAGACAGUGUCUGACGGGCAGUUUGACUGGGGCGGUCGCCUCCUAAAAGGUAACGGAGGCGCCCAAAGGUUCCCUCAGAAUGGUUGGAAAUCAUUCGCAGAGUGUAAAGGUAUAAGGGAGCUUGACUGCGAGAGCUACAACUCGAGCAGGGACGAAAGUCGGGCUUAGUGAUCCGGUGGUUCCG